GGGGGGGGGGGGGGGGGGGGGGGGGGGGGGGGAGGCGGGCGGGAGGGGCGUGCGGUGGUGGGGGGGGCGGGUGGGGGACGGGGGAGGGGCACGGGGGUGCCCUGCGCCUGGCUUUGGGGUGACGUCAGGGAAGUGGGGCGGAGAGCGGAGAGGAGCUCCUGCUGCACGGUGGGGGGUGGGGAGUUUCGGCGGUUGGGGAUGGGCUCGCGGCUUAGCAGCAUGUUGGUGGGGUAGUGGCUGACCAAGGCUUUGACGGGUAGCCGGCCUGAGAGGGUGACCGGCCACAUUGGGACUGAGAUACGGCCCAGACUCCUACGGGAGGCAGCAGUGGGGAAUAUUGCACAAUGGGCGGAAGCCUGAUGCAGCAACGCCGCGUGCGGGAUGACGGCCUUCGGGUUGUAAACCGCUUUCGCCUGUGACGAAGCGUGAGUGACGGUAAUGGGUAAAGAAGCACCGGCUAACUACGUG
This 468-nucleotide ribosomal RNA is filed under the name uncultured bacterium. RNAcentral's name for it is "partial 16S ribosomal RNA". The stretch from base 52 to 468 matches the Rfam family "Bacterial small subunit ribosomal RNA", at positions 39 to 507 of the family's 1533-position model. The record is from RNAcentral.